This 677-nucleotide non-coding RNA is filed under the name Pan troglodytes (chimpanzee). Lineage: Eukaryota; Metazoa; Chordata; Mammalia; Primates; Hominidae. The record is from RNAcentral.
CACAAGGAAGGUUUCACCCCGUUGCCGAAAGACUAAGCGUCCCGUUGGCCAGUGCAACGAAGAACGGAGGAAGCGACUGUGGUGGACGGUGGUGCCCCAAAACUUCACAACCACCUAGACAUUCGGAAGGUGACCUUAUUUGGAAUAAGAGAUUUUGCAGAUAUAAUUGAGUUAAAGAUCUGAGGAUGAAAUCAUCAUGAAUUUAGGGUAGGCCGUAAAUCCAAUGACUGACAUACUUACAAGAAGACAAGAGGACACAGGCACCCGGGGGAAGAGGCCGUAGGAGACCCAGGCAGAGAUUUGGAGCGGUGCCCAUGCCAGGGAUCUCCAGGAGGAGCCAGAAGCUGGAAGAGGCCCUGCAGAUCCUCUCCCAGAGCCUUUGGAGGAGGCACAACCCUAUCCACACCUUGGUCUCCACCUUCUGGCCUCCAGAGCUGUAGGGGAACCCACUUCUGUGGUUUGAAGCCACCAAGUUCGUGGUGACUUAUGGCAGCCCUAGGAAAGUGACAUGCACAGGUAAACCACAUUCACUGCAGAAAAUAUACAAAUCAGCAAAAAGAAAAAAAGCACACAGGGGCACCACCCCCAGAGACAGCCAUCGCUGACAUCCUAGCGGCUGUCACCUCGGAGUGAUGUUCGUAAAAUGCAAACUUCUGAACUGCUUAAAACUCUUCCAG